This 490-nucleotide ribosomal RNA is filed under the name uncultured bacterium. RNAcentral's name for it is "partial 16S ribosomal RNA". It matches the Rfam family "Bacterial small subunit ribosomal RNA", at positions 30 to 507 of the family's 1533-position model. The record is from RNAcentral.
AUUGAACGCUGGCGGCAGGCCUAACACAUGCAAGUCGAACGGUAACAGGAAGAAGCUUGCUUCUUUGCUGACGAGUGGCGGACGGGUGAGUAAUGUCUGGGAAACUGCCUGAUGGAGGGGGAUAACUACUGGAAACGGUAGCUAAUACCGCAUAACGUCGCAAGACCAAAGAGGGGGACCUUCUGGCCUCUUGCCAUCGCAUGUGCCCAGAUGGGAUUAGCUAGUAGGUGUGGUAACGGCUCACCUAGGCGACGAUCCCUAGCUGGUCUGAGAGGAUGACCAGCCACACUGGAACUGAGACACGGUGCAGACUCCUACGGGAGGCAGCAGUGGGGAAUAUUGCACAAUGGGCGCAAGCCUGAUGCAGCCAUGCCGCGUGUAUGAAGAAGGCCUUCGGGUUGUAAAGUACUUUCAGCGGGGAGGAAGGGAGUAAAGUUAAUACCUUUGCUCAUUGACGUUACCCGCAGAAGAAGCACCGGCUAACUCCGUG